RNAcentral lists this ribosomal RNA (500 nucleotides) under uncultured bacterium. RNAcentral describes it as "partial 16S ribosomal RNA". It matches the Rfam family "Bacterial small subunit ribosomal RNA", at positions 30 to 523 of the family's 1533-position model. The record is from RNAcentral.
AUUGAACGCUGGCGGCAUGCCUUACACAUGCAAGUCGAACGGCAGCACGGGAGCAAUCCUGGUGGCGAGUGGCGAACGGGUGAGUAAUAUAUCGGAACGUGCCCAGUCGUGGGGGAUAACGUAGCGAAAGCUACGCUAAUACCGCAUACGAUCUAUGGAUGAAAGCGGGGGAUCGCAAGACCCCGCGCGAUUGGAGCGGCCGAUAUCAGAUUAGGUAGUUGGUGAGGUAAAGGCUCACCAAGCCGACGAUCUGUAGCUGGUCUGAGAGGACGACCAGCCACACUGGGACUGAGACACGGCCCAGACUCCUACGGGAGGCAGCAGUGGGGAAUUUUGGACAAUGGGCGCAAGCCUGAUCCAGCAAUGCCGCGUGCAGGAUGAAGGCCUUCGGGUUGUAAACUGCUUUUGUACGGAACGAAACGGCGAGCCCUAAUACAGUUUGCUAAUGACGGUACCGUAAGAAUAAGCACCGGCUAACUACGUGCCAGCAGCCGCCGUAA